Molecule: ribosomal RNA, 73 nt
Filed under: Clostridium botulinum C
Lineage: Bacteria; Bacillati; Bacillota; Clostridia; Eubacteriales; Clostridiaceae
Description: partial 16S ribosomal RNA
Rfam family: Bacterial small subunit ribosomal RNA (bases 1-65)
Source: RNAcentral
UGGUGAUUGGGGUGAAGUCGUAACAAGGUAGCCGUAGGAGAACCUGCGGCUGGAUCACCUCCUUUCUAGGGAG